RNAcentral lists this ribosomal RNA (119 nucleotides) under Pteropus alecto (black flying fox). The record is from RNAcentral. Lineage: Eukaryota; Metazoa; Chordata; Mammalia; Chiroptera; Pteropodidae.
GUCUGUGGCCAUGCUUCCCUGAACAAGCUCGAUCCCAUCUGAUCUCAGAAGCUAAGCAGGGUCAGGCCUGGUUAGUACUUGGAUGGGAGACCACCUAGGAAGACCAGGUGCUGUAGGCG